GUCAAACACUCCUACUUAGAACCUGGAGGGGUGCAAAACAGAAAGUGUGAGUAGGCAAAAACAAAGCUUUUCAAAACCAUUUCAAUUAUCAAAAGUAAUAACCCCUCGCUGGAAAACCUGUAUAAUUCCUAGAAAAUAGAAUACAUAUCUAUAUCAAAACCAUGCUCGAGAUAGCAAAUCUAAACGUAUACCAUGCCAAAUAUUUGAGUAUAAUGAAAUAAGUUCACCACAUGAAAUAUAUCAAUGAAAAGUAACAUAUCAGCCUAAUCCACCUAGUGUGGCCUGUACGGCUGAACCAUAGCUCCUCAAAUAUACCUGCACACAAGUCGAAACUACCUAAAGUGGUCUGUAUGACAGGAUUGGGUGUAAAUAAAUACGCUCAAGUGCUACGAUCACAUGAAGACUGUGCGAAUAAUCACGGGUCACCUACAAGUCGGAACCAGCUAUAGUGGUGUGUAUGACAGGACUGUGCACCUAACUUGGAUCCAAAGUAAGCGUAUGGUGCGGGAGGUGAACAUCAUGUGAAGGAAUGUGCCCUAUCCACGGGCGAGAGCACUAACACCGGGGUGUAGGUUUAUGAGCUCUAAAUACAUCAAAUAUAAUUGUAACCAAGCAACUCACAUCCACCAUCUAUAAACUUACCUGGAACUUACCUGAGUGUUCGCAGCACCAACAAUAAUAUAUGCAAAUGCAUAUUCUAAAUAUAAAACAUUUGGCAUGGCAUUCAAAACAUAAACCAUUUAAAUAAGUUUUUUGGGAAAAAUACCAAGCAUAUAUACAUAUAUUGAAAACCAAAAGCCCACUCACUGGUAUGUGGUAGGGUCGUAACCCCCGAGUCUCGCUUGACUGCGCUCGUCGUCUGGAAACAUCUCACCUAUAUGUGAAACAACUAUUAUAACGUUAUUUUAAGCACAUAUCCAAAACUAGGAAAUAACUUCUCAUACAUUGCGCAAUUAGAGUAUUUGAAUAUACCAUCGUGGUCUACUCAACAUCACGAACAUCCCUAUAUUUUUAGAAAAUUUUUCUAAGUUCCCACACGCCCUCACG
This 1047-nucleotide long non-coding RNA is filed under the name Malus domestica (apple). Its description in RNAcentral is "long non-coding RNA (MDOM_LNC008331)". Lineage: Eukaryota; Viridiplantae; Streptophyta; Magnoliopsida; Rosales; Rosaceae. The record is from RNAcentral.